GCAUGGGGUAGCGAACAGGAUUUAGAUACCCUGGUAGUCCAUUCCGUAAACGAUGAGUGCUAGGUGUUGGAGGGUUUCCGCCCUUCAGUGCCGCAGCUAACGCAUUAAGCACUCCGCCUGGGGAGUAGGACCGCAAGGUUGAAACUCAAAGGAAUUGACGGGGGCCCGCACAAGCGGUGGAGCAUGUGGUUUAAUUCGAAGCUACGCGAAGAACCUUACCAGGUCUUGACAUCUUGCGCCAACCCUAGAGAUAGGGCGUUUCCUUCGGGAACGCAAUGACAGGUGGUGCAUGGUCGUCGUCAGCUCGUGUCGUGAGAUGUUGGGUUAAGUCCCGCAACGAGCGCAACCCUUGUUACUAGUUGCCAGCAUUCAGUUGGGCACUCUAGUGAGACUGCCGGUGACAAACCGGAGGAAGGUGGGGACGACGUCAGAUCAUCAUGCCCCUUAUGACCUGGGCUACACACGUGCUACAAUGGACGGUACAACGAGUCGCGAACUCGCGAGGGCAAGCUAAUCUCUUAAAACCGUUCUCAGUUCGGACUGCAGGCUGCAACUCGCCUGCACGAAGUCGGAAUCGCUAGUAAUCGCGGAUCAGCAUGCCGCGGUGAAUACGUUCCCGGGCCUUGUACACACCGCCCGUCACACCAUGAGAGUUUGCAACACCCAAAGUCGGUGGGGUAACCCUUCGGGGAGCUAGCCGCCUAAGGUGGGGCAGAUGA
Molecule: ribosomal RNA, 719 nt
Filed under: uncultured organism
Description: SSU rRNA
Rfam family: Bacterial small subunit ribosomal RNA
Source: RNAcentral